This 1032-nucleotide non-coding RNA is filed under the name Pongo abelii (Sumatran orangutan). The record is from RNAcentral. Lineage: Eukaryota; Metazoa; Chordata; Mammalia; Primates; Hominidae.
ACUUGGUGAAAUUCCUCAGGGAUUUUGAGACAUCAAAGCAAUCUCUCUAGUUCUGGAAAGACUGAAUUUGCAGCAUCUGCUGAAAUGAGGAAUAAUCAAUGUUCACCAGCGGAAAUUGAAAAGCAAAGAGAUGGAGAAGAUUCCAAGGACCCACUCAAGUUCCUGGUGUUUUUGUGAAUGUUCUGUGUUUUAGACAUGCUUUUGUUUAGGGGAAGACAUGAGCUGAGCCAAUUGGGAUAAAGAAGAGGUUGAAAAUGCGUAUGGCUUAGGCAGAGUAAGGAGUUUUAGAGAAAAUAUAGGGGUAACUUUUAGAGUCUUGGCUUAAGGCCAAAGCUUCUGAAUCAAGGAAAGAGCGACAGUUGCCUUCCUCUAUUUUUAUUAAUAUACAGGUGUGUUACCAUUAUUACCUACCAGAAAGAGCAUAAUAUUAAUCAAAUCAAAUUAUAUGAGUCCUACAGUAGAAAUAUUGCAGACAUUUAGUAUUAUAUUAAAGUUUAAUUAAUGGUAAGACUUUUCAAGGUGGUAAUAGUUAUAUGCAGCUCUUUGGCUAAAAGUCAAAGUAUGAUGUAUACAGAAUAGAAACGAUGCUGGACUGCCAGAAAAUCUGCCUCUCCCUCCCACUCCCCCAAAAUCUAUUAGGAACCAGCAUUUACUGUUAUUAUUUCAAAUAUUUAUGCAAGGUAAUUUUAAAUGAUUUAAAUAUUCCAUAUAUUAAUCAAAGUUAAUAAUAAGUUAGAUUCUGAAACAUUUGUGCCAUUAACAACAGUCAGAAAAAUAACAUUAUUUCAUUGGUAUUAAAUGAGGCAAUCUACAGUUUGAUUAAAAAAAAAAUUAGUGUAUUUUUUAAAAUUACACUUUUACAUAGAGUUAGAAAACUUGUCCAUAGAAAGGAAACUGUUGACCAAUUACAUGUUGUUAUAUCUAACUUGUAUAUUGUUCUUACUAUAGGCUACGCUCUGUCCUACUAGAUUUACAUAUAUUACUAAUUUUUUCUCACAACAACCUUGUGAGUUGGAACUAUUAUUGACUCCA